Molecule: long non-coding RNA, 200 nt
Filed under: Amborella trichopoda
Lineage: Eukaryota; Viridiplantae; Streptophyta; Magnoliopsida; Amborellales; Amborellaceae
Description: long non-coding RNA (ATRI_LNC000969)
Source: RNAcentral
UACUACAAUGACAGGUUGUUAAGUAAACUGCAAUCGGACUAUGCAAAGAAGUACAAAGGUUGGGAUUUUCAUCCUGAUGAUGACCACCUCAAGGAUGAGGUUGGGGCAUUAGAAGCAUUAAGCGACCGCCUUGAUGUAGAUGACGAGGCUCGUCAGAGUGCACUAUUACCAAGGCCUGUACGUCCCACUAUGUUUUCAAG